Molecule: long non-coding RNA, 5863 nt
Organism: Columba livia (rock pigeon)
Lineage: Eukaryota; Metazoa; Chordata; Aves; Columbiformes; Columbidae
Exons: 3
Source: RefSeq, a predicted model, not a curated record
CGGGCCAGUUCUGCAAAGGUUCUUAUGACUCAUGACUAUGCAAUUCAUUAUGCCUUGAAGGCCACAUCCCUGUGGAAGACCUGAAUCAUCUCAGAGUGGGAUGUGAAGUGAUGGUAUGACACCAUACGUGAACCUUACAAAACUGACUGCAUAAGUAUUUCUAUAAACAAUUUUGUGGCAACAGAAAUUAUUUCUGAAGAACAGACAGACAGAGAAAGGACAGGACUUCCUAUGCGUAGAUCAAAGGAAAAAGUGGCAUUUGAAGAGAAGCUGCUCAGUUUCCCUGACAUCUUCAAAUAUUUUUUAAUAGUAUAAGCACUGUUUAUUUACUUGGCAGGGAAGAAUUUCUGGUUCACAUUUUUUAAUUUUUCCAGCCACAGCAGGCCAGUAGAUUUUAAACACGAAAGGAUGUUAAAUGUUUCUAAACCUUUAAAAGGACUUCAGGAGAUAAAAGAGGCAUGGGGAGGAUGAGAGUUUUGAAAGCCGAGAUAACUAUCUGUUGUGUUCCUCCUACAGUUGGUUUGCAAGCCUUCCCUUGCCAAGCAAUCUUUGCUGACAUACUCCAGCAGUGUUUAAAACCUUGUGAGUUUCCAGAGGGUGUGGUGAGGUUCCUGUAUAAAUAUUACUGAGGCAUUUGAUCCCCACCUCCAGAAAGCAAAGGUGUGGUGAAAUUGGACUCUACUGGCACAAUUCAUCAUACUUUACUAUUACUUCUACAUGCUUUGGCUUAGACACUGUAAUUAAUAAACGUAGUGUUUGUCCUGAGAAAUUUAGCCCUGUGAAGAACUACAACACUUCUGAGAAAGGGCCGAUCUCUAUAACUGAAAAGAGAUCAUUUAUCUUUUAAUGAAUGUGCACACUGUUUUCACAUGUGCAAGGGUGCAGUUUUCCUUUGAAUGACUCAGGCGGUGAGCACUUUUUUAAAUAUCCCGGAUAGUAGUUAACAUCAAAAAUAUGAAGUGUGGCCUGAAUUUCUCAAUCGUGAUACCCAGUACUGCAUUAUGAGUAAUAAUGUAUGUGUGGCCUGUAUGCACUUUAGCUGAAACUUGUCAUUUUUCCGAAGAAACCUCUCAAAGGGUGUAACUGUAUGUCAGCUGCGCAACUACUGAAUCAGGAAGCUGAUCCCUGCUUUGUGCUAUUUGGAGUUUCCCAGGCUGCUCUCUGUGGCUGGAGGAAUUGGGCCCUCACCCCAUCUCCUGCAGGUGCAGCUGAGGUGCAGCUUGCGCUCUGUAGUUGAGCAGCACACAGUCUUAUUGCGUGGCAGAUGAUCCCUCCAGGCAGCAGGAGUGGGAACAACCUCUUCCCACUUUCUUCCUUAGUCCCAAACCUUCCUCUCCCUGAUAUUUCUCCUCUUAGAGACAGGGCCUGAACCCAGCCCUGCCCUCUUAACUCACUGCCCCAAGGAGUAGAUAGAGAUUGCUGAAGGGCAAGGAGAGUAAAGGGGGGGCAUGGUGAGGGUGGGCUGGUCAGUGCCUUGGGAAAAGGGAGUUACUAGGCAGAAAUGAACUGUGACCAAGCAAUGAAGCACAAUGAGAAAGAAAAGAGGGAAGAGGAAAGAGGAACUGCUCUUACACAUAGUCCUGUGAAGUUUAAUGAUUCUUCCUCCACCCGCUUUGUCCGCCUUUAAUUCCCAUAUCUCUGCAUUCCUUACAAGAACUCAUCUGACACCUCACUAUUCUCCUGCUCCAUGCUGACCUUACCAGAGCCACGGCAUUGAAAUUUUACUUGUGUGACUAAGAAGUCAGCCUUCCACUGUAAGGAUUUGCUCGCCUCCAGGAUUCUGUUCCUGUUGUCUGUAAGGUGCUUAUAACAAAAAUUAAUUUUUUGCCUGCUUUGAUUUUGGGCUGUGUGUUGCUAUUGUUAACAUUUAGAAAACAUAGGAAAGUGCUGUAUGAGUUGAAAAAAUAAAAGCUCCAAAUUGGUUCAGAAUAUUUUUUUCUCGGUAAUAUCACACAAUUGUGAGCAUUUGCUCAUGUUACAAGACAGAGCCCUAUGAUAUUAGAGUCUUUAUUUUGUGAUAUUUAAGACUAUAACAAUGAGGAAAGGGAGGCCAGGUGCAAAUGAUAGCACAUGGAUAUCCACAUAUAGCAAAAUGGAGACAAAGUAUAAAUUAUGCUACUAGGGCUAAAAAUGUGUAGCAUGAAGCCGUGUAUUAUCUCACCUUUGCUCCUAAACAUCAUGAACCAUCCGAGGAACCUGCUGUUCACAGGGUGACUAAGCACUACUUGGAAUUCACAGAGAUAUUCUCUAGACUUUGGUUCAGAGAGUGUUAAAAGUGGGAAGGGAGGGUGAGAGCAUUGUAGCUGACCAUUGAAGAUUCAAAAUGAGGGCUGGUGGGACUUAUUCUCACAUGUAGCCAACUCUGAUUUGGUGAGAGAAAGCUAAGCUGGCUGAAUGGCUUAUACUAUUUUGACAUUAGUGAGAUGUGGAUUUAUGUUUAAAAUUACAUUAAUCAGAAGAUUGUGUAUUCUACAAUCUUAAAGCUAUGCAACAUUUGACAGGGAAAGGCCAUGAGCAGCUUAGUAUAGCUUUGAAGACCAGAUGACUGUCAGCUGCCCGUUCUAACACAAGUUACUCUCUAAUUCUGUGAACUUCGGGAGACCAAUUUUUGCAGAUAGCUGACUUUGAUCAACUGAGCAAUGUUGCUUACAUUCUUAUGUAUUAGAAGAAUUAGGACUGGAAUAAACAAUAGAGCCCUGGGGUCAAAUUCUGUCAUCUCUGUGGAAAUUCAUUACGUGAAUUACCUUCCUACUGUAAGACUGCAGGCAGAUGAACAAGUGUGGUCUUGUAUCUGCACAGCUCAUUAAUCCUUUGAAUUAAUUGUGCCCCUUUGUAUGUGUGCAAUGACAAAUACAUAAAAGGUGUGGUGGCAGAGCACGUAAAAGCCUCUUAUGAUGGGUCCUAAAGCUGAGAAUCGGAGCUUUCUUCCAUACUUGUGCAGAAAGAAAUAUUAGGGGUAAAAGAGAGGUCAAUCCAGCUGCACUUCAUGACACAGAGGAGAGUCAAAGUCUCUGGGACAUGGUGCUGACUAAUUUGCUUCUUUGUGAAUGGAGAGAGAAAGCUGUAUCCUCCUCUGUUGGCACAAAGGAGAGGACUUGUUCCAUGAUGGGUGAUGGUGGUCUGAUAUCUGUCACCCAACUUGGGACUUCAUCCAGGACUGACAUUUAUGUGUCUAUUAUUACAAAAGCUACGGUGCUUCAGGUGUGGAAGGCUGUUGGAGUUUUUGACUGUUAGACAAAUAUUUCUGGGUCUGAGAUCUGAGGACUCCAGCAUCCAUUCCUUCAUGGGUGUGUGAUUUGCCAAGUCCAAAAAAUGGUUUCAAAGUUUUCAGUCUCUGAAAACAUAGGGCUGAGAAUGUUGAGGAAGGUUAAGGAGGUGGCUACUGAGGACAACAAUAUGACUGCUGGUUGCUGUGCUGGCGGAAGUCAGCAGAAAUAAGGAGGCCACACUGAAUCUGUCUACAUACAGGAGUAGAUACACUUCUUUGCAUCUUCUGUUUGUGAAGAAGUAUGUAUUAAUUGAUAAGAAACACAAUGGCCUAUAAAUAGGGCAGUUUUAUAACGAAUCUGCUGAAAAUUAAGUGUCCUGAGGAUUUUAGGCACCCUAUUUCCAUGACCAGAUAACAGAAACUCCAGAGCAAUAGUGAACACGUUGUUAGCUCUCUUGCAAAAAAUUUCCCCAUUUGUUAUCUCCUGACCAGCAAUUGACUAAGAUACAGGAAAUUAAAGGAAAAUAUUUGAACUAUUUAUACACCGGUGGAGGUGGUGUCUUGUUAUCUUCCUUCUUUUGCAAGAUUGUGUUUGCUACCAGCAAGUUAUGUCCCCUAGGUAUGGCCAAAUUGUGUGUUAUCUUGAAGGGGAGAGUGAGGGAGAGAGGGAGUAGCCGAAAAAAGUAGAACAAACUGAAUACUGUGAGGUGGAACUGAGAAAACAUACCAUCACAGACUACCCAGCACUGGUGCCAUGCUGUGCAUGCUGGAGUCUAGAAAGAGCAUAGCUUUCUUGCAGUAACUUCACCCCAAAAAAUCUUCCUUUCAUUCUUCUGGUACUUCUCUGUGACAGUUCCUCACAGGCCUGUUUCCUUUCUUGUUUCAGUGACAAAGGGAAGAAUAAUUCAUUCCAGAGAGAAACUUUAACUUGCCAUAGACAUUGCUUCUUUUAGUGUGAUUAUUCUCUUUAUUUACCAAAAGUAGAAAGCCCAUUCCUAUUUCCCAUUCCCAUAUGUUCUUCAAGGCAGUGUUAUGGUCUCAGUGAGGUGUAGAUUCUGCACAUAUCCAGCUGCCUUCCAAACUGCUUAUCGACACUUGUUUCAGAGAGACUGGAUGAAUCAUGGUUUGUGCUGAAAGUGUUGUAUGUGACUAGUUGGAGUUGCAUGCUUGAGGGAUUAUGGGUCAUGCUGGUCCCUUCCUGGCAGAACAGUGGUCUCAACAUUGUAUCGUAGCCCGUUGUUAGGACAGACUCUCAUUCCUCAUCUCUCUGUAAGCAAUGAAUCAACUAUGAUAAAAGAAUCAUAGAAUAUCUCGUUAGAAGAGACUCAUAAGGAUCAUCGAGUCCAAUUCCCUGCUCUUUGUAGGGCUAUCUAAAACUAAACCAUAUGACUAAGAGCAUCAUACAGAUACUCCUUGAACUCUAACAGGCUUGGUGCCAUGACCACCUCCCAGAGGAGCCUAUUUCAGUGAUCGACCACCAUGUCAUUGAAGAACCUUUUCCUAAUGUCCAGUCUGAACUUCCCCUGACACAGCUUCAUGCCAUCUCCUUGUGUCCUGUCGCUGGUCACCAGAGAGAGAGAGACCAGCACUGCCCCCUCUGCUGCUCCCCUGAGGAAGCUGUAGCCACCAUGAGGUCACCCCUCAGCCUUCUCUUCUCUAGGCUGAACAAACCAAGUGACCCCAGCUGCUCCUCAUAAGUUUUGCCCUCAAGGCCUUUCACCAUCUUGAUUGCCCUCCUCUGGACACACUUUCAUAGUUUGAUGUCUUUCUUAUACUGAGAUGCCCAAAACUGCAAGCAGUACUCGAGGUGAGGCCGCACCAGUACAGUGUAGAGUGGGACAAUUGCAUCCCUUGACUGGCAGUUAUACUGUGCUUGUUGCACCCCAGGACAUAAAUGGCCCUUUUGGCUGCCAGAGCACACCGUUGACUCGUAUUCAACCUCCCAUCAACUCAAACCCCCAAAUCUCUUUCUACAGGGCUGCUCUCCAGCUUCUCAUCCCACACUUUGUAGGUAUAACCAGGAUUACUUCAUCCCAGGCACACUUGAAAUACUCCAGAUGAAAUGCACUUGCUUAAACGUGUUUUUAUUAUGAUUAAGGAAGCAAAAGAGUAUGUACACAAGACCCAUCACAUAUGGACACAUGGAAAACAAUUUGAAUAGUAAUAUGCCAUAUUUGGUCAAGACAAUUGAGCCAAAAAGGCUUAAGGAGAAAUACGAAUUGUAAGAUUUCUAUAAUGCAUCUUUAGAAAGUGAAGAAGAACCUUGCAGUAUCAGGAGCACAAAGAAAAAGCAAUUGCCUUGUCAGAGUAGGAAUGGCUGGUGACAGUUUAGAAUUUAAUCUGGGAGUUUUCGAGUGACUAAUUGCAGAGGAGUCACCAUGAAGCUUGGCCAUAGAAAAAGCUGGCUUCAUUGGAAGACUGCAUUUUUUUCCAUAAAACUCCUGCUGAUGAAUGGGGUUGUGAUUUUUCAGUGUGAUGAAUUGGCACUAGUAUUGUUAACUUGCACCAGGAGCAUCUCUGUUCAUGUUUUCUUUGGGCCUGGUUUUCAUUCCUUUAAUCCUUCGUUCAUGAGUAAAUAAUAUUACUCUACACAGAAAGGAAAGGCAAAGGACUGCUGUUUUCAUGGUAUAAUUUCUCUGAUUUAAUUUUUUUUUU